Molecule: ribosomal RNA, 433 nt
Filed under: uncultured bacterium
Lineage: Bacteria
Description: partial 16S ribosomal RNA
Rfam family: Bacterial small subunit ribosomal RNA
Source: RNAcentral
AACGAACGCUGGCGGCAUGCCUAACACAUGCAAGUCGAACGAGACCUUCGGGUCUAGUGGCGCACGGGUGCGUAACGCGUGGGAACCUGCCCUUAGGUUCGGAAUAACUCCCCGAAAGGGGUGCUAAUACCGGAUAAUGUCUUCGGACCAAAGAUUUAUUGCCUUUGGAUGGGCCCGCGUUGGAUUAGCUAGUUGGUAGGGUAAAAGCCUACCAAGGGGACGAUUCAUAGCUGGUUUGAGAGGAUGAUCAGCCACACUGGGACUGAGACACGGCCCAGACUCCUACGGAAGGCAGCAGUGGGGAAUAUUGGACAAUGGGGGAAAGGAUGAUCCAGCAAUGACGCGUGAGUGAUGAAGGCAUUAGGGUUGUAAAGCUCUUUUACCCGGGAUGAUAAUGACAGUACCGGGAGAAUAAGCUCCGGCUAACUCCGUG